Long non-coding RNA from Lactuca sativa (garden lettuce), 1546 nucleotides. RefSeq lists it as uncharacterized. NCBI's taxonomy places the organism in Eukaryota, Viridiplantae, Streptophyta, Magnoliopsida, Asterales, Asteraceae. The record is from RefSeq and is a predicted model, not a curated record.
UUAACCUUCUUUAUUUCCCCUAAUUUUCCUCCUCAUUUAGUUUCCUUUCUUAUUACAAAUGCACCCCAUAAAAUCAGUAUGAAAUCAUCAUCAACAAAUCAACAAUUAAUUCGCAAGAAAUCACGAAACAUAAUCAUCUCCAAAAUUGAAUUCGUUUGACUAGGUUUUAUUCGACUUCAUAUCUCGUCAGAAUUAAUCCACGCUUCUUCUCUUCGUUUCUUACCCACCAAGCUCCUCCAAUUCCUUCCUGUUCAAGCAACUUUUGACGCAGAUAAGUGCAAAUACGAAGAUUAGAUAUGUGAGAUCUCACUAUUCUGCAUUGGUUUUGUUUCAAUGGAGAUUUUCGAAGGGCCUUCAUCGUUGAUCUUUGCUCAUGGUGGAGAUUUAGGUUAAUUUUGUAAUCCAUUAAAUGAAACAAAAAUCAUCCAAUCUUUUGUCACGCCAGGAGUUUUGAACUACUGGAUCCUCAACUACUUUCAUCUAUGUAUGAAAGGAAGCUGCUAAAACCUUUUCACCUUUUUUAAUUUGGGCAGUGAGGUCUUUUAGUUUGGGCCAGUGAGGUCUGGUGUAAGCAAGUGGUUCGUAACCUAAUGGAAGAGAAGGGCGGGCGAUUCCUAGAUGUUUUUUUUUUCUUUUUAGCAGUGCUUUACAGCAGCUGGUUAAUGUGGCUACUUCAAUCCAUUUCAGCUUGAUAUUGGUCAGCCCCUACCUGAUCCCGGGUUGCUUUUGGAGUAAAUAAUUAUUGGACGAAAGUAAAUGAAAAAGUACAAAAUGGAUUCAACAACAGUAUGGAAUUGGAAAUCAAGCAUAAUUAUGGACAAACAGGUGGGUUGUUAAAAUUUGGAGUUUGGACGUGGCAUUGAAACUUGCAUAUUCGAUAAGCUUCAUAAAUUUUCCACUUCUAAGGCUUGGUUGCUGCUUGGUGUCACUCACUGCCACUGGAGGUGAUGAUAUUGAUAAGAACUCUAUUUUUACAGAAACUUCAAUUUAUUUAUAAAUUUUGCAAAUAUCUUUAAUUUGUGAGCUUUAUAUCAAUAUAACACGUUUGCAUAAACAUCUUGCUGGUUCCACAAACAUCCUUUUGAAAUCCAAUCCUUUUUUUUUCUAAUUUCCUAUCAAUUUUGGUCUCAGUGUCGUCAAAGUUAACAUUUAACUGUCAAAAUUAUAUAAUGACCACAGGGACCAAAUUUGUUAUGUACCCUAAUAUGUGUUAUUUGUUUUCUGUAAAUUAACCUUAAGAAAAUUUUGAAAUUUUAGUCAUGGAUCAUGCUCAAAUGAUUAGUUAUGGAUUUAUAUUCUAUGGUCCUUAUGAAUUGUUGUUAUGUUAGGGGAAUACUGAUGUGCUUCGGUGCUUGUAAUGAUCUUUCACAAUAUUACCGACAAAAUAUCUAAUUUUAUAAAAAAAAUGAAAAUGUAGGAUUAAUGAUUUUGCACGUUGUUAAGUUUUAAUAUUGUUUUACUUUCCUUUGCAAAACAUAGUAUUUAUUUUUGGACUUUUUUAGUUUUAUUUUAACAUUGAUAUUUUAUUUUCUACCGAAUGUGAUCG